UACAGAGGUCCCAAGCGUUGUUCGGAUUCACUGGGCGUAAAGGGUGCGUAGGUGGUUGUGCAAGUCUGAUGUGAAAUCUCCGGGCUUAACCCGGAACUGCCGUUGAUACUAUUUGUCUUGAAUAUUGUGGAGGUAAGCGGAAUAUGUCAUGUAGCGGUGAAAUGCUUAGAUAUGACAUAGAACACCAAUUGCGAAGGCAGCUUACUACACAACGAUUGACGCUGAGGCACGAAAGCGUGGGGAUCAAACAGG
Molecule: ribosomal RNA, 252 nt
Filed under: uncultured bacterium
Lineage: Bacteria
Description: partial 16S ribosomal RNA
Rfam family: Bacterial small subunit ribosomal RNA
Source: RNAcentral